UAUCCAAAACUUAAAAAGAAGCAAUUAAUGCAAAUGAUCAAAUUUAGAGUUGCCCAAAAUGUUGCAACUCAGAAGCACAAACGGCAAACCUCCCGUCGGCGUCGAAUAUCUCUUCGUUUUGCCCAAUCGCCAUAUCCAGCAGUAGUAAUAUGAACUUUCUGAUCAAUGUAAGUUCAAUUUCACUUGCAUUAUACAUCUUCGUUUUCGGAUUCUGUCCAUAUAUGCGUGUGUUCAACUGUUUAUACGUUCUAGACCUCAAUGAAUUUGUGAUUCUUAUGAGUUAUGUUGAUGAAUUUUAUUUGAAAUGAGAUAAUAAGUAUUAGUUGAGCGACCACACCAGAAAUCGAACUCGCUAAACUAGAAUCGACUAUUCAAAGUUUCAGUCGCGGAUUGCCCUAUGAUAUUAGAGACGCUUUGCUAUUAUUGAUAAUCUGAUGCUAGUUGGUUAGUGUUAUACAUGCAUACUAUCUGUUUGAUGAAAGUUCGGGUGAUAAUGCCAGCUCUAAGAAUCAAUAUGCUUUGUUAACAACUGAAUCCUCUGCAGUACUAUAGUUACUAUCAUGGAACUUAUGUUGUAUGGUGUUCCUUAUGCUUUGCUAUAUCUUGCUUCAAAAAAUGAUUUGCACCUCUUCUUACCUGCACGAUUCCUUUUUGUUUUUCGUAAUUGUUAUUAUAAGGUUUUGUUGCUAAAUGAUAGAAUAAGAAAAUUGGAUCUGAAAAAUGCAUAGUUAUUCAUGUGGAAUUAUGAUGGCGUACAUUAUUAGAAUCUCAUAUUUCAGAAAGAAGUUUAACCAUGUGUGGUCGUGGAGAACAUUUUGCUAAUAGCGGCUGAACCUUUGGUGAAAUUGUGAAUCCAGUGCCUUCGCUCAUAUCAAUGAUCUCACUAUUGGGCUUAUCCCACUCAAAACAUUGAAGAAGUGAGCCUAGUGCCAAUCCAAUGACAUGAAUUGCUAGGUUCUCACCAGGGCAACCCCUCCUUCCUGAUCCAAACGGAAUAAACUUGCAGCCCUCUUUGACACUGUCAAAGCCUAUAAAUCUAUCAGGAUUGAACUUUUCUGGAUCCUCCAAUACCUUAGAGUCAUGAUGUAUCCCCCAUGCAUUCACUAAUAGGAUUGUUCCACGCGGAACUCGAUAUCCUGCAACUUUGCACUCUUCUGAUGAAAGGUGAGGCACAAGUAAAGGGGCUGCUGGAUGCAUCCGCAAUGUCUCAUCGAUGAUGCAUCUGAUGUAAGGAAGUUGAGCCAAAUUGGAUUCAUCCGGUCUUGUCCAACCUGAUUGUCAAUUUCAGUCUGUGCCGUCUUUAAAAUUUCUCGAUUGUCAAGCAAGCGUGAAAAAGCCCAUUCUAGUGUUACUGCUGAAAUAUCUGAUCCAGCUUGGAGUAGGAUCUGCAUGCAUAAGAAAACAGAAUGUAUAAACUAGUUAACAACAUUUAAAGGAACAGUAGAUAUAGACAGAAGCAAAGACACUCUGUAGGGUCAAUGGUUUUGGUAGUUCAAAUAUAGCUUUCAUUUCAAGAUCUAUAUCCAGGGUAGGGUAAGGCAUAUGUAAGUAGAAUUAUAAUAGUCAAUAUCACCUGCCUAUACUAUGUACUCCGUCUGUUGUGAACCAAACUGACCCCAUAAGGGCCUACGGGCUAUUAGAGAGUUUUAUUUGGGAUCCAGACCCAUUUACACUUUGUUAAAAAGGACUAGGAAUUAGAAGAACGGUUAUGGAAAAUUAUUAUGUCAAGCUCUGGCUUUCUAUCCUCUCAUUUCCUUUCUAUGGUCUUGUAUCUCAUCCCUUUCUGGUUACUUCUUUCUCGGUUAAUCUCUCCUUAGUUAGUGUAUUAUUAUUUUGUUGUGCCUAUCCUACAUUGUAACUUGUAUUCAGUGAUUAAUAUAUAUAACUGUGUUUCUGUUGGAAUCGAGUUUGUUUCACCGUCCCGUUCAAUUUAUUUGUACUAGUUUGACUUGACAGAAAGUGAAAGAAAGUAAAGAAGACUUUUGAAUCUUGUGUCUAAACAUGUCAUGUGGUAUGUUGAAAUUUAAGAGCUGUCAAAUUAGGAAAAAGACACUCUUUUUUAAACAAAAAAGAGAAGUAAUACAAACAAAUUGAAACAAAAGGGAGUAUAAAUCAAUCUUGGUACGGAAGCAUUUAGACUCAUCUAAUCAUGUCUUUUUAUCAAGAAACCCCAGCAGAAUACCAAUUUGUAUCAAGUUCCAUCUGAAGCUUAACAUAGUAUUAACUCAAGAUAACACAAGCAAAGAAAACAAUGAAGAUAAUCUUCAUGUACAAAAAGAAAAAAUAUAGAUGUCUGAUAGUCUUACCAGCAGUAGGUUUCUAAUUGUUUCAUCUGUGUAGUAUUCGGGGUCUGUUUUCUGUAAAUCUAACAAGACUUCCAUGAUAGUUUUCUUCUUCCCUGCCACAACCUCUGCUGAAGGAAAAGAACCACUGGUCUUUAAUCGACGAUGCUCGUCUAUUUCCUUUCGCAUAAAGUUAUCUCUCUUCUUCUGUAGUUCCAUCAUCUUUUCCUCAACACUAUGCAAUCCAAACCACCUCAUAAAUGGCAAGAAAUCCAAAAUAUUAGCCUUUGGAGUAGUGUUUAUUGUUUCCUUUGAUAUAUCCUGGAAUAGCAUAGCUUCUUUUGAGUUCUCUCCAUAGUAUCUUUUCCCUGCAAUCAUUCUCGAUAUCACGUUGAACGUGAAGUUAAAAAGAGAUGAUUUCAUCUCCACAAUUUUUUCCAAAUUCUCUAUGGAGACUCUAAAGAGUCUACGAAUCAGGUAGUUUAUUUUAUCAGAACGGAUGCUUGAUAGUGUCUGAAUUCUAUAGGAAGAUAAAACUUCAAGAGUGGAAAUUCUUCGAAGAUUUCUCCAGUGCUCUCCAUAAGAAGACCAAGCGAGGCUAGUAAAAUUGUACCCGAAAUACUUACCACUGAGAAAAUCAGGACGAUUGGCAAAGAUGAUAUCAUUUUUAGUAAAACAGUCUUCUGCUACUAAAGGUGAUGAAACAAGGAGGACAGGCCGAGAGCCAAAUUGAAGAAACACUACUGAACCAUAACGAUUCGAGACUUUGAAUAAAGCCCUAUGGAAAGGUUUACUCAAUAAGUAGAGAUGGCCAAUAAAAGGGAGUGUUGGAAAUGGGCUAGGUGGAAGGUUUUGUAACUUGUUAAGAAAAUGGCGGCUGAUGAUAUAAUGAACAAGGAACAGAACUGGGAAAUACAGAUAAAGAUUGUCCAUGGAUGACCAGAAUUGUAGUAUUAUUUCUGAUAAUUAUCUAGUUUUAUUAGCUUGUAUUAAGAUCUUUGCAGCUUAGACAACAAUAAAUGAGUGUCAUCAAAUCUUGGUUUUGUAAUCUAAAUUGAUCAAUCUUUGUAGGCUAGGUAUUUGUUGAAUCCCUAAUAAUGUAGGUUAGUUGUAGAAAUUUAUUAUUUAUAGAAAAUUUAUCCUUGUAAACAAACAGGAAGGAAUUAAAUACUAACAAGUAAAUAUCCAAUAAACAGGACCUUAUAAUUUAUUUAGGCAAUUGAUGAUUGAUGACAAAUGACAAGAUGCAAUUUUUCUGGAUGUACUCUAAUUAGGUUCAUUUGUCCAGUAUCAAAUAUGCAUUGAUAUAUUCAGCGUAUAUGUAUUCAAUAUCAAUAUCAUCAGUGUAUCCAAUAUCAAUUUUAUCCGGUGUAUCCUUUAUCAGUUUCAUCCAAUUUCAUGUAUCAAGUAUCAAAUAUACAUUGAUGUAUCCGUGCUUAGAUAUGCGUAUCUGGUAUCAAAUAUGCACUUAUACAUUCAUCAAAUAAACCAAUAUCAAAUAUGCACUGAUGUAUUAAGUGUAUCUAUACACAGAUACAUAUCAAUCAUUAUUUCUAGACAUGUAAAUAUUGUCCCCAAGUAAAAUUAAACCAAAAUCAGAACUGAAUAGUUUAUGAAAGUGAUACCCUGUGGUUAAAUAGUUAUAGUAGCAUGUUUGCUUAGUUAGGUAAUUUUUUCCAUUAUUGAUACCCAUAAAACAAUAGAUCCAAAAUGUUGCAACAUCAUCUUAAAACUCUAAUUUUCAAACAACAAUAGCUAAACGGAAGAGAUAUGGAAAAUUGAAUAGGUCGACAAUGAAUCGGAACUCAGAAGCACAAUUUUCUUCCUUUUGCUCAAUCGCCAAAUCCAACAAUAGGAGUAUGAACAAGGCCUUCACAUUCUGAUCAAAGUAAGUUCAAUUUCACUUGCAUUAUACAUCUUCAUUUUCAGAUUCUCUCCAUAUAUGUGUGUUCGAGUGCUUAUACCUUCUUGACCUCAAUGAAUUUAUGAGUCUUAUGAGUUAUGUUGGUGAAGUUCAAUGAAUUUUAUUUGAAAUUCUUGCGGAAACGCCUGGGGUUUACCUUUGCUCAGCUUAAUUUUGGUUUUCGUUAAUUUCACCCUAAGAUAUUGAUUAUACUUUGUAAUUUCUCUGCAUAUUUCUAAGGGGAUGGUAUAGUACUGAAGAAGCUAUAACUCUAAUUAUUAUGUCAUGACUCUAAUUUCUAAGGGGGCAGUAUAGUGCUGAAGAAGUUAUAACUCUAAUUUUGUUAAAUUGUUCGAAUUGUGUAAUCAUCAGUUAUUGACAUUGGGAAGCGACCCAAAGUGAUAUUCAAUUCGUGACUUCAAAUUUGAAUUGCUUUCCUGUUAACCGUGUAAAAGAAGCUUUUGGUAAUUGUGCUCCAAGAUGCACUAUAAAUUGCUAUUUUCCAUUUGGUUACUAUUGUAUUUAGAGAGUUGAUUUCCCACAUAAUCACUCAACUAAUUAUUAUUAUCUCAUAAAGUCACAUCUCUUCUUGAUUAUUCCAAUGUUUUUCAAUAAAGAAAAUGACUUUCUGAGAUAAUAAAAUUUAGUUAUGUGGCCAUAUUAGUUCGAACUCUCUACACUAAUGACUAUUCAACUUUACAGUCACGGAUUGCCUUCUAAUAAUGGGCCUUUGAUAUUAGAGAAGCUUUGCUAUUAUUGAUAAUCUGAUACUAGUUGUGAGUGUUAAACAUGCAUACUAUCUGUUUGAUGGAAGCUAAGGUGAUAAUGCCAGCUCCAAGAAUCAAUAUGCUCUAUUAACAACUGAAUCCUCUGCAGUACUAUAGUUACCAUUAUGGAACUUAUGCUAUGAGGUAUUCCUUAUGCUUUGUUAUAUUCUUGCUUCAAAAAAUGAUUUGCUCUUCUUCCCUCACAAUUCCUCUUUGUUUUUUGUACUCAAUAUUAUAAGGUUUCAUCGCUGAAUGAUAGAAUAAGAAAAUUGGAUCUUAAAAUUGCUUAGUUAUUCAUGUGGAAGUAAUGGCGUACAUUAUUAGAAUCUUGGUUAGGAUUAGAUUUCAGAAAGAAGUUUAACCAUGUGUAGUCGUGGAGAACAUUUUGCUAAUAGCGGCUGAACCUUUGGUGAAAGUGUGAAUCCAGUGCCUUCACUCAUAUCGAUGAUCUCCCUAUUGGGCUUAUCCCACUCAAAGCAUUGAAGAAGUGAGCCUAGUGCCAAUCCAAUGACAUGAAUUGCUAGGUUCUCACCAGGGCAACCCCUCCUUCCUGAUCCAAAUGGAAUAAACUUGCAGCCCUCUUUGACACCUUCAAAGCCUAAAAAUCUACCAGGAUUGAACUUUUGUGGCUCCUCCCAUACCUUAGGGUCAUGAUGUAUCCCCCAUGCAUUCACUAAUAGGACUGUUCCACGCGGAACUCGAUAGCCUGCAACCUUGCACUCUUCUGAUGAAAGGUGAGGCACAAGUAAAGGGGCUGCUGGAUGCAUCCGCAAUGUCUCAUUGAUGAUGCAUCGGAUGUAUGGAAGUUGAGCCAAAUCGGAUUCAUCAAUUAGGCGAUCUUGUCCAACCUGAUUGUCAAUUUCUGUCUGCGCUGUCUUUAAGAUUUCUGGAUUGUCAAGCAAGUGUGAAAAAGCCCAUUCUAGUGUUACAGCUGAAGUAUCUGAUCCAGCUUGGAGUAGGACCUGCAUACAUAAGAAAACAGAGUGUAUAAACUAGUCAACAACAAUUGAAGGAACAGUAGAUAUAGACAGAAGCAAAGACAAUAGGGUCAAUGAUUUUGAAAGUUCCAAGGUAGCUUUCAUUUCAAGAUCUAGAUCCAGGGUAGGGUAGGGAAUAUAUAAGUAGAAUUAAAAAAGUCAAUGUCACCUGCCUAUACUAUGUACUCCCUCCAUUUUAAUUUGUUUGUCUUAGUUUGACUUGACACAGAGUUAAAGAAAGAAAAAAAAACUUUUGAAUCUUGUAGUCUUAAAUGUGGUAUGUUGGAAUUAAACUGUUGUCAAACAGGAAAUAAUGGUAUGUUGGAAUUAAACUGUUGUCAAAUCAGGAAAUAAACAUUCUUUUUCGAAACAAACUAAAAAGAAAAGUAUUACAAACAAAUUGAAACAAAAGGGAGUAUAUAUCAAUCUUAGUACAGAACAUUUAGAUUCAUCUAAGCAUGUCUUUUUAUUAAGAAACACUAACAAUAUACCAAUUUGUGUCCAGUUCAAUCUGAAGCCUAACAUAGUAUAAACUCAAGAUAACACAAGCAAAGAAAACAAUAAAAAUAAUCUUCAGAGUGUAUCUUCAUGUACAAAAAUAAAAACAAAAACAUAUAGAUCAUGUCUGAUAGUCUUACCAACAUUAGGCUUCUAAUUGUUUCAUCUGUGUAGUACUCGGGGUCUGUUUUCUGUAAAUCUAACAAGACUUCCAUGAUAGUUUUCUUCUUCCCUGCCACAACCUCUGCUGAAGGAAAAGAACCAUUGGUCUUUAAUCGACGAUGCUCGUCUAUUUCCUUUUGCAUAAAGUUAUCUCUCUUCUUCUGUAGUUCCAUCAUCUUCUCCUCAACAUCAUGCAAACCAAACCACCUCAUAAAUGGCAAGAAAUCCAAAAUAUUAGCCUUUGGAAUUGUUAUUAUUGUAGCCUUUGAUAUAUCCUGGAAUAGCUUAGCUUCUUUCGAGUUCUCUACUUUCUCUCCAUAGUACCUUUUCCCUGCAAUCAUUCUCGAUAGCACAUUGAACGUGAAGUUAAAAAGAGAUGAUUUCAUCUCCACAAUUUUUUCCGAACUCUCUAUGGAGACUCUAAAGAGUCUACGAAUCAGGUAGUUUAUUUCAUCAGAACGGAUGCUAGAUAGUGUCUGGAUUCUAUAGGAAGAUAAAACUUCAAGAGAGGAAAUUCUUCGAAGAUUUCUCCAGUGCUCUCCAUAGGAAGACCAAGCAAGGCUAGUAAAAUUGUACCCGAAAUGCUUACCACUAAGAAAAUCAGGACGAUUGGCAAAGAUGAUAUCAUUUUUAGUAAAACAUUCUUCCGCUGCUGAAGGUGAUGAAACAAGGAGGACAGGACGAGAGCCAAAUUGAAGAAACACUACUGAAC
RNAcentral lists this long non-coding RNA (7301 nucleotides) under Solanum tuberosum (potato). RNAcentral's name for it is "long non-coding RNA (STUB_LNC005210)". The record is from RNAcentral. Lineage: Eukaryota; Viridiplantae; Streptophyta; Magnoliopsida; Solanales; Solanaceae.